RNAcentral lists this ribosomal RNA (353 nucleotides) under uncultured bacterium. RNAcentral describes it as "bacterial SSU rRNA". It matches the Rfam family "Bacterial small subunit ribosomal RNA", at positions 157 to 507 of the family's 1533-position model. The record is from RNAcentral.
GUAAGACUAAUACCCAAUGACGUCUCUAGAAGACAUCUGAAAGGGAUUAAAGAUUUAUCGGUUAUGGAUGGGCAUGCGGCGCAUUAGCUAGUUGGCGGGGUAACGGCCCACCAAGGCGACGAUGCGUAGGGGUUCUGAGAGGAAGGUCCCCCACAUUGGUACUGAGACACGGACCAAACUCCUACGGGAGGCAGCAGUGAGGAAUAUUGGUCAAUGGGCGCGAGCCUGAACCAGCCAAGUCGCGUGAGGGAAGACGGUCCUAUGGAUUGUAAACCUCUUUUAUCAGGGAGCAAAGGCAGUCACGGGUGACUGAAAGGAGAGUACCUGAAGAAAAAGCAUCGGCUAACUCCGUG